UUUAUGGAGAGUUUGAUCCUGGCUCAGGACGAACGCUGGCGGCGUGCUUAACACAUGUAAGUCGAACGGAAAGGCCUAGCUUGCUAGGUACUCGAGUGGCGAACGGGUGAGUAACACGUGGGUGAUCUGCCUCGUACUUCGGGAUAAGCCUGGGAAACUGGGUCUAAUACUGGAUAGGACCAUGCUUUAGUGUGUGUGGUGGAAAGUUUUUUCGGUACGAGAUGAGCCCGCGGCCUAUCAGCUUGUUGGUGGGGUAAUGGCCUACCAAGGCGUCGACGGGUAGCCGGCCUGAGAGGGUGGACGGCC
RNAcentral lists this ribosomal RNA (306 nucleotides) under Corynebacterium diphtheriae. Its description in RNAcentral is "partial 16S ribosomal RNA". It matches the Rfam family "Bacterial small subunit ribosomal RNA", at positions 1 to 309 of the family's 1533-position model. Lineage: Bacteria; Bacillati; Actinomycetota; Actinomycetes; Mycobacteriales; Corynebacteriaceae. The record is from RNAcentral.